This 1186-nucleotide long non-coding RNA is filed under the name Glycine max (soybean). RNAcentral's name for it is "long non-coding RNA (GMAX_LNC002084)". The record is from RNAcentral. Lineage: Eukaryota; Viridiplantae; Streptophyta; Magnoliopsida; Fabales; Fabaceae.
CAUUUAUUUGCUUCUGCCUCUGCAACCUUGUUUACUCGUUUUUGCUUUUUAUUUUUGUAUGGAACUUUGCAAGUUUACUACUUGCAUUCUCUGGGGAGUAGCAUACCAUGUUCCUAAAAGCUAAAAGAAGGUUUGUGAUUUGUCCCAUAAAUUUUGAAAGAUAAAAUUACUUUGUACCCGAAAAACUAGAAGUCAAUCAAUUUAGUCUUUUAUUUUACUUCAAUUAAAGGAUUAUAUUGACUGACGUUUUUAUUUUCAGGGGAUGAAAAUUUAAAGUGAUUUUAAAAUUUUUAUAAACUGAUGUGACUCAUCUCAUAUCUGUCAUAUAACGCACCAAAAUAUAGUUUUACUCAUUUUGUGGGAGAUGGUUUCUAGUGGGCUUUCCUUCCAUUAUUCCUCAGGUGUUGUUACGUGUACCAUGCAAAUUAUUAGUACAUCCAGCAUAAUUUGUGUAAUUCCUAUUUUGCUCUUCAUAUAGGUUGGGCAAUUCGUAAAUUGGGCUUACGGAUUGGCUAAUUCGUACAAGGUUAUGGAUUGUUCAAAUCUGUAAGUGACUCAAACUAUUUUUUUUUUUUGAAAAUUCAUAUAUGUAAACAAAUUAAUUAUUAGAUUAAAAUUAAAUGUUACAAAAUAUAUUAUCUAAAUUUACAUACGGAUUAAAUAUACAUUAGAAAUUUUAGUGUUACAUAUAAUAACAUUAAUUAUUUUAUAACAUAAUUGAUCUACGAGUUCAGAUUGUUAGAGCAUCAUAUUAAUAAAGCCACCAAAGUCACAUGUGUGUGGAUUUGGGCCGCUUAUGGAUUGAUCAAUUCAUAUCAACUAUACGGAAGGGUAAUAUUGGAAUAGUGCUGGUGCACAAAGUGACAGCCUAUUUCUCAAAGUGUGCUGACUUCCCAAGCCCAGAGUUGCGUUAUGCUGUAAAAUGGGCUUUCCUUUGCUUUAGUAGUCAAAAUCACAAAAAUACCGAGAGGAAUGGACAGACACUUGUAAUUAACAGAUGAGGAAAUACUGACUAGUAAUUAACAGGACAGACACUUGUAAUUUUGUUGGUCACUGAAAGGUUGUGACGGAUUCUACUUUGGAUGUGUUUGUAAUUUUUUAACUUGAAAAUUUGUUUGGCCAAAAUAAAAUUGUACAAUAAUAUUUUUUUUUCUAGUUUGUUAUUUUAUCUAAUCGUCUUUGAUUU